Canis lupus familiaris (dog) is the source of this 1589-nucleotide long non-coding RNA. RefSeq lists it as uncharacterized. The record is from RefSeq and is a predicted model, not a curated record. Lineage: Eukaryota; Metazoa; Chordata; Mammalia; Carnivora; Canidae. The transcript is spliced from 3 exons.
GCCCAAGGUCUCGGCCGUGAGCCCGUCUCACAGAGCCGCUCAGCGCUGAGAAGCGCUCCCAGAGCCGCCACCACGCAGCCCAGCCGAGGCGAGCAAUCAGUGCACCGCGCCGCUGCAUGUAAAGAAAAGAGGCUCCAUCUACAAACCAGAGCUUUGUUUGGAGGUCUCUUAGGCCCUAGAACAGUGACUGGUAUGCAGCAGGACCUGAACAUCCUCACGAGAGAAGCACUACCACAGCCUCAGUUUCCCUAGCGGUAAAGUGAGGAGAGCAGCUCAUGAAUGCACUACAGGUAGCACCACACCACAGGGAGCAACUGUACUCGUCGGGGACCCAAGCUGAGUCCAGAAGAGUGGACAGCUUCCCUUUCAUCCCCACCCUACGCCCAUCACUGCGGCCUAGAAGCUCCUCUGCGGGGUUGGCCUUCCAGGAACGCAGGGCACCUGCAGGUCCCACAGGAGACACGGACAGGGAAAUGCCAGAUGUCUCCUUGGAACAUGUGCGGCCCAGAGAAACCAAGUGGAGGGUGGGCUGAGUCAUCCUGGCCACGCCGGGGCCCUGCUGUGAUCUGGCCCCUAACCAACAGCCCCGGGGACACACCAUUGGUACCUUCCCACCUUCCCACACCUGCUCAGCUCCAGCAUCACCUGAGACAGGUGAGCACUGAUCCCAGGUCCAGGUGGGUUCUGACCCUCAGCCCAGGUGGGCUCUGACCCCAGGCUCAGGUGAGCUCUGUACCCUGGCCCAGGUGGGCUCUGACCCUAGGCCAAGGUGGGCUCUCUGAUCCCAGGCCCAGGUGGGCUCUGACCUGGGGCUUAGAUGAGCUCUGCCCCCCAGCCCAGUGAGCUUUCUGACCCUCAGCCCAGGUGGGCUUCCUGGCCCAGCUAAGCUCUUCCCCACUUCCUGUGAUCUGGUGGGGUGCAUCCAGAGGACAGCUGUCCAAUGGGACUCACAGUGGGACCCACCUGAGAGGCAGGCACAGAAGUUGGACCCAAGUAUCCAGGUCCUGUUUGGCGGUAUGUUCCCUUUCUCCCGUCCAUCCCCAAAUACUCUUUUAGGGUCUCUGAGCAAACUUAAAGGCUAGUCUCUGGAUUUACUCCUCAUCAGGCUAACAAAGGGUCUUGCUCUUAGCUGUGGCCAGGAGGGACCCCUGAACUGUCACCCUUGAGGGGGACUCUAGGGAGGUCUGUCAAACUGCUACCUUCAGGCACCCUCCUGAGGGAGUCAUGGAAUUUGGAAAUCCACAUGCUGAUUCUAACCUGUCCCCCUAGUGUUUUGUACUAAAAUAAACACAGAUGUCCUCUGGCAUAGAAUUCAGAUUUUCCAUUAAAUUCUAUUUUAAAAGCAGGAAUGUUGAAGAAAUUCUGAAUCUGGGUAGGGCUGAUCCAGGUCAAGGGCCUACUUUGAGUAUCCUCUGGUUUUAAAGGUAUGUCCAUAGAAAUGUCCAAGAACAUCCAUGGAAAGCCAGCAUCAGCCACUAACACCCUAGUAAGAGUGAGAGUGAAUUCCCUGAGUGAGAGUCUGGAGGUGCAGCAGCACCUGUAUGAGCAGGAUACCCACCGCUGCAGGGGGCAGGGGGGCAGGGCUAUCA